RNAcentral lists this ribosomal RNA (484 nucleotides) under uncultured bacterium. Its description in RNAcentral is "partial 16S ribosomal RNA". It matches the Rfam family "Bacterial small subunit ribosomal RNA", at positions 30 to 507 of the family's 1533-position model. The record is from RNAcentral.
AUUGAACGCUGGCGGCAGGCCUAACACAUGCAAGUCGAGCGGAUGAAGGGAGCUUGCUCCUGGAUUCAGCGGCGGACGGGUGAGUAAUGCCUAGGAAUCUGCCUGGUAGUUGGGGAUAACGUCCGGAAACGGGCGCUAAUACCGCAUACGUCCUGAGGGAGAAAGUGGGGGAUCUUCGGACCUCACGCUAUCAGAUGAGCCUAGGUCGGAUUAGCUAGUUGGUGGGGUAAAGGCCUACCAAGGCGACGAUCCGUAACUGGUCUGAGAGGAUGAUCAGUCACACUGGAACUGAGACACGGUCCAGACUCCUACGGGAGGCAGCAGUGGGGAAUAUUGGACAAUGGGCGAAAGCCUGAUCCAGCCAUGCCGCGUGUGUGAAGAAGGUCUUCGGAUUGUAAAGCACUUUAAGUUGGGAGGAAGAGCAGUAAGUUAAUACCUUGCUGUUUUGACGUUACCAACAGAAUAAGCACCGGCUAACUUCGUG